RNAcentral lists this non-coding RNA (27 nucleotides) under Cricetulus griseus (Chinese hamster). The record is from RNAcentral. Lineage: Eukaryota; Metazoa; Chordata; Mammalia; Rodentia; Cricetidae.
CAACCUGAAUUUAUGCCCUGAAAUACA